GAUGAACGCUAGCGGGAGGCUUAACACAUGCAAGUCGAGGGGUAAGGUCUCUUCGGAGAAUACGCGACCGGCGCACGGGUGAGUAACGCGUAUGCGACCUACCUAUAACACAAGGAUAGCUCCCGGAAACGGGAAUUAAUACUUGAUGACAUUCAAAGAUGGCAUCAUCAAUGAAUCAAAGUUCUGGCGGUUAUAGAUGGGCAUGCGUGACAUUAGCUAGUUGGUGAGGUAGAGGCUCACCAAGGCGACGAUGUCUAGGGGGUCUGAGAGGAUGAUCCCCCACACUGGUACUGAGACACGGACCAGACUCCUACGGGAGGCAGCAGUGAGGAAUAUUGCGCAAUGGAGGAAACUCUGACGCAGCCAUCCCGCGUGCAGGAUUGACGGCCCUAUGGGUUGUAAACUGCUUUUCUAUACCAAGAAACACCGAUACGUGUAUCGGUUUGCCGGUAGUAUAGGAAUAAGCAUCGGCUAACUCCGUGCCAGCAGCCGCGGUAAUACGGAGGAUGCAAGCGUUAUCCGGAAUCACUGGGUUUAAAGGGUGCGCAGGCGGAAUAGUAAGUCAGAGGUGAAAGCCCACAGCUCAACUGUGGAAUUGCCUUUGAUACUGUUAUUCUUGAGUGUAGUUGAAGUAGGCGGAAUAUAGCAUGUAGCGGCGAAAUGCAUAGAUAUGCUAUAGAACACCAAUUGCGAAGGCAGCUUGCUAAACUAUAACUGACGCUGAGGCACGAAAGCGUGGGGAGCGAACAGGAUUAGAUACCCUGGUAGUCCACGCCGUAAACUAUGAACACUCGCUGUUGGCAAUACACAGUCAGCGGCUGAGCGAAAGCGUUAAGUGUUCCACCUGGGAAGUACGAUCAGCAGGUUGAAAC
This 872-nucleotide ribosomal RNA is filed under the name uncultured organism. RNAcentral's name for it is "bacterial SSU rRNA". It matches the Rfam family "Bacterial small subunit ribosomal RNA", at positions 28 to 900 of the family's 1533-position model. The record is from RNAcentral.